RNAcentral lists this ribosomal RNA (250 nucleotides) under uncultured bacterium. Its description in RNAcentral is "partial 16S ribosomal RNA". It matches the Rfam family "Bacterial small subunit ribosomal RNA", at positions 524 to 773 of the family's 1533-position model. The record is from RNAcentral.
UACGGAGGGUGCAAGCGUUAUCCGGAUUCACUGGGUUUAAAGGGUGCGUAGGCGGGUAUAUAAGUCAGUGGUGAAAGCUCCGGGCUUAACUUGGAAACUGCCAUUGAUACUGUAUAUCUUGAAUAUCGUAGAGGUUAGCGGAAUGUUGCAUGUAGCGGUGAAAUGCUUAGAUAUGUUACAGAACACCAAUUGCGAAGGCAGCUAACUAUGCGAUGAUUGACGCUGAGGCACGAAAGCGUGGGGAGCAAAC